CCUAUCAGCUUGUUGGUGAGGUAAUGGCUCACCAAAGCGUCGACGGGUAGCCGGCCUGAGAGGGUGACCGGCCACACUGGGACUGAGACACGGCCCAGACUCCUACGGGAGGCAGCAGUGGGGAAUAUUGCACAAUGGGCGCAAGCCUGAUGCAGCAACGCCGCGUGAGGGAUGACGGCCUUCGGGUUGUAAACCUCUUUUAGCAGGGAAGAAGCGAAAGUGACGGUACCUGCAGAAAAAGCGCCGGCUAACUACGUGCCAGCAGCCGCGGUAAUACGUAGGGCGCAAGCGUUAUCCGGAAUUAUUGGGCGUAAAGAGCUCGUAGGCGGUUUGUCGCGUCUGCUGUGAAAUCCCGAGGCUCAACCUCGGGUCUGCAGUGGGUACGGGCAGACUAGAGUGCGGUAGGGGAGAUUGGUAUUCCUGGUGUAGCGGUGGAAUGCGCAGAUAUCAGGAGGAACACCGAUGGCGAAGGCAGAUCUCUGGGCCGUAGCUGACGCUGAGGAGCGAAAGGGUGGGGAGCAAACAGGCUUAGAUACCCUGGUAGUCCACCCCGUAAACGUUGGGAACUAGUUGUGGGGUCCAUUCCACGGAUUCCGUGACGCAGCUAACGCAUUAAGUUCCCCGCCUGGGGAGUACGGCCGCAAGGCUAA
RNAcentral lists this ribosomal RNA (650 nucleotides) under uncultured Actinomycetes bacterium. RNAcentral's name for it is "bacterial SSU rRNA". It matches the Rfam family "Bacterial small subunit ribosomal RNA", at positions 237 to 897 of the family's 1533-position model. The record is from RNAcentral. Lineage: Bacteria; Bacillati; Actinomycetota; Actinomycetes.